UACGGGGGGGGCAAGCGUUGUUCGGAAUUACUGGGCGUAAAGGGCUCGUAGGCGGCCAACUAAGUCAGACGUGAAAUCCCUCGGCUUAACCGGGGAACUGCGUCUGAUACUGGAUGGCUUGAGUUUGGGAGAGGGAUGCGGAAUUCCAGGUGUAGCGGUGAAAUGCGUAGAUAUCUGGAGGAAGGCCGGUGGCGAAGGCAGCCCCCUGGGCCAACACUGACGCUCAGGCACGAAAGCGUGGGGAGCAAACAGG
Molecule: ribosomal RNA, 253 nt
Filed under: uncultured bacterium
Lineage: Bacteria
Description: partial 16S ribosomal RNA
Rfam family: Bacterial small subunit ribosomal RNA
Source: RNAcentral